This 818-nucleotide ribosomal RNA is filed under the name uncultured bacterium. Its description in RNAcentral is "bacterial SSU rRNA". It matches the Rfam family "Bacterial small subunit ribosomal RNA", at positions 613 to 1432 of the family's 1533-position model. The record is from RNAcentral.
CCUGGGAACUGCGUUNUGAACUGGGUGACUAGAGUGUGUCAGAGGGAGGUAGAAUUNCACGUGUAGCAGUGAAAUGCGUAGAGAUGUGGAGGAAUACCGAUGGCGAAGGCAGCCUCCUGGGAUAACACUGACGUUCAUGCCCGAAAGCGUGGGUAGCAAACAGGAUUAGAUACCCUGGUAGUCCACGCCCUAAACGAUGUCGAUUAGCUGUUGGGCAGCAUGACUGCUUAGUAGCGAAGCUAACGCGUGAAAUCGACCGCCUGGGGAGUACGGUCGCAAGAUUAAAACUCAAAGGAAUUGACGGGGACCCGCACAAGCGGUGGAUGAUGUGGAUUAAUUCGAUGCAACGCGAAGAACCUUACCUGGUCUUGACAUGUACGGAACCCUCCAGAGACGGAGGGGUGCCUUCGGGAGCCGUAACACAGGUGCUGCAUGGCUGUCGUCAGCUCGUGUCGUGAGAUGUUGGGUUAAGUCCCGCAACGAGCGCAACCCUUGUCAUUAGUUGCCAUCAUUAAGUUGGGCACUCUAAUGAGACUGCCGGUGACAAGCCGGAGGAAGGUGGGGAUGACGUCAAGUCCUCAUGGCCCUUAUGACCAGGGCUUCACACGUCAUACAAUGGUCGGUACAGAGGGUAGCCAAGCCGCGAGGUGGAGCCAAUCUCACAAAACCGAUCGUAGUCCGGAUUGCACUCUGCAACUCGAGUGCAUGAAGUCGGAAUCGCUAGUAAUCGCAGGUCAGCAUACUGCGGUGAAUACGUUCCCGGGUCUUGUACACACCGCCCGUCACACCAUGGGAGUGGGGGAUACCAGAAGUAGGUA